This is a small nuclear RNA of Neospora caninum, 193 nucleotides long. It matches the Rfam family "U2 spliceosomal RNA". Rfam says of the family: U2 is a small nuclear RNA (snRNA) component of the spliceosome (involved in pre-mRNA splicing). Complementary binding between U2 snRNA (in an area lying towards the 5' end but 3' to hairpin I) and the branchpoint sequence (BPS) of the intron results the bulging out of an unpaired adenosine, on the BPS, which initiates a nucleophilic attack at the intronic 5' splice site, thus starting the first of two transesterification reactions that mediate splicing. The record is from Rfam. Lineage: Eukaryota; Apicomplexa; Conoidasida; Eucoccidiorida; Sarcocystidae.
AUACCUUCUCGGCCUUUUGGCUAUGAUCAAGUGUAGUAUCUGUUCUUAUCAGUGUGACAACUGAUAUGGGUCCAACUGGACCCAACUAUGUCACAUCAAUUUUUGUUUGGGGAGGUUCGGUCCCUGAGCUUGCUCAGGCCUUCCUCAAGCGUCGCCUUCCUCCUGCACUCCCGGGAAGAGCGGUGCGCCCUUU